Molecule: microRNA precursor, 103 nt
Organism: Seriola lalandi dorsalis
Lineage: Eukaryota; Metazoa; Chordata; Actinopteri; Carangiformes; Carangidae
Source: Ensembl
GUCAGUCAGCAGGUUGUUCCUUUGUGCUUGAUCUAACCAUGUGGCUGCCAGGUUCCUAAAGUGGAACAUGGUUCUGUCAAGCACCAUGGAACGGCCCUGCAAA